RNAcentral lists this long non-coding RNA (440 nucleotides) under Aedes aegypti (yellow fever mosquito). Its description in RNAcentral is "lncRNA AAEL024935". The record is from RNAcentral. Lineage: Eukaryota; Metazoa; Arthropoda; Insecta; Diptera; Culicidae.
UCGAAUGUUAAUAGUCCAAAUUAGUGGUAUAAAAGUGUUAGUACGGUUAGUAAUUUUUUAAAUACGAUUAAUUUGUUAGUUCCUAAUUAAAAUUAUGUUAAAACAGUUGUGAACAAGCAGUUAGACACGAAAACGAACAUCUAUAACAAUUACCAACUUAUAACAAAGAAAAGGUCCGAAAUCGGGCCUUUUCUUUUUGCGUUUCCUCGCGUGGUUUAUCCCGGAGGAACUUCUUUCAUCCGCAGUGAAGCCAAAGGACCAGUUUGGAGUGUAGGAAAGUUGGUUGGUGUGCCGAUAACCAGCUUAGUUCCGCCCGCCAUCUUGGAGCGUCCGUUCCAACAAUAGCAUCGACGCCAUUUUGAAAUUUCGGCCAUUGCAACAUCUCUACGGCUUCCUUCCCGCUUUCAACGUUCGGUCAGUCGGAUUAAGACCAAUCCCGA